AAGAAGGAGGCGGGGCCCAUCGCCUCCCUCCCGCAGGGUCACCUUGGCUAGGCCCCCCGCAACCCCGGGCGGGGGACUGGGGGCGGGAGGGGGCGGCAAGAAUGCCUUUCAACGGGCCCUGAUUUCUCCGCCCAGCCCAGUUCCAGGAACGCGCGGGCAGCACCCGCGGGCAGAGGCCCCAGCUCCGGGUUCUGGGCGGCGCACGCCGGGGUUCGAGGCCAAGCUUAGUGCCUCCCUCCCGUCCGACGCCGGCUUGUUCCCCUCCCCCGCCCUCCGUUUCCUGGGCCUCAGUUUCCUUCCAAGUCCCGGCUUCCGCUCAGCUGGCGUCUGGGUCCCCGCCGUUGGGGCAGCCUACGUCCUCAGUUGGAGUGCCGCGGGGUCCUUGAUUGUGUGCCUGGCCCCUCAGCGCCCAGCGCAGUGCGGUUUACAAAGUGGAAUGAGUGGAGAGACCUGAGUGAGAAAGCCCAAACCUGCACCCGCUAAGUUGUUUUUACCUCCUGAUGCUGAAACUCGGCUGGCGUUCUUCAGUGUUUUGUUUGGGCCAAUCUGGAGCCCCCACCCAGCUAUCUUCUUGCUGCUCUGCAGCGCGGUUGAAAACCUUGACAUAAAAAGAGCCCUGCUUCUGUUAGCCGACCCUGCCUCCAUGCAGUUGGCCUUGAAAAGUCCAACAGACAUAAAGCAUCUUCUAUAGGUGAGGCAUCUGCCUCUGGGCGUAAUUCCACCUUCACUCCUGUUAUUUGAUGGUGUGUCCUUGCUCGAGCUCCCAGCAUCCCCAGCACCUGGCAUAGUGUUUGGCACAUAGUAGGUGCUCGUGAACUGUUACAUGGACACACAGUAGAUGCUCAUUAUAUUUGGGGCAAAUGGAGACACAGUAGGUGCUCAUGACUUGCGUGAAUGGACGGAUACAGAAUAUAUGUUCAUUCCAUUUUCAAGAAAAUGGACACAUAGCAGGUGGUCGUGACCUGUUGCAUGAAAGGACACACUGAGUGAAUAGGCAAAGAGUAGGGGUUCGUGAACUAUUGGGUGAUAGGUGAAAGGCCAUAGGCCCAGAAGGUGGUGGUUUGGAAGUGACCCCACCCCCACCCGGGUUUCCCUUGUGUGGAUUAUGUGGAGUGAGGUCGGGUUAAACAUUAGCCGGCAGAUGGGCCUCUCGGGAAGGCCAGCUUUGCGACCUAGCGCCUUCAGGAGGGGGCUGUUAAGGGCCAACUCUCCCAGUCCACUGACCAGCGGGUGUGUGGGGUGGGGCGGAGGCUGAGAGACACAGAGCGCCCCCUCCCGGCGUCCGGGAUCACGGUGAUUCAGCUGAAGCGAGACCCUGUAGCCUGCAGUGUUGCAAAGUCCAAUUUCUUCGAGCCCCAAGGAAAUCCAGGUGUAUGAAAAAGGUACCCAAGGGGCUAAUUUUAUAUCCGUUAAAAGAACUUGCCAUGUGUUUGCAGGAUGCCAGGCACUGUGCGACGGUGCAACAGAGUGACAACCUCAGUUGCCCUUGCUCUCCUGGGGCUUACAGUCCAUCAGGAACUGAAUCCAGUGACCAGGAAAAUCCAAUGAUCCCUGAACCAUAAAGGGGAUUUGAUCAUAAGGGACCUUCACUCCUGAGGGCCUUUAUAAUAGUUUUCCACACGCACUUGUUUUCACAGACAAGCAGGUUGUUCCCUGUAAAGAAUCUGACUUGACAUUCCCAUGUUGGGAUGGUGAAUAACAGCAUCUUUCUAAGGUUAUUGUAAAGGUUAAAUAAGGUAUAUUCUCAAUACAUAUUAGCAAUUACUACCAGGUGUCAAACCUGAUCCAAGGCAUGUCAAUUCCAGGACCCAGCUAGUGUCCUCUUAGCUGCAAAUAAGCCCCUAAAUUGGCUCCUGUAAAUCCAACAAGAGUGAAGAAUGCUAUAAUCUUGGUGGAGGUGAUCCAACCAGAAACCCCCAAUUCUCAGUCAGACCAGGUCUUUCUCUGCACCAGAUGCUUUGCUUUCAUUAUAUUCACAACAACCUUGAGAGGGGGUCCUAUUAUUAUUGCUAUUUUACAGAAGAGGAUAUUGAAGCACAAGAGGUUGAGUAAUUUGGUCAAGUUCUCAGAAGCUAGUAUGAGGAGUCAUAGUCCAGAUUGCAAUCUCAGUUAGUCUGAUUUCAACCCUUGUGUUAUAAUCUGCUCUGUCCCUGGGGCAUCAGAUACCCGGCAGAGUGGGGUUGUGGGACAUCCAAGAGGACCAGCCUUCGGGAUUUUAGGGGGGUUGGCUUUUCCAGGAGGCAACACCUACUACCGCAGUCAGUCCAAGCCUGGCUUUCUCCUUCUUAGUGAAAGGGCACAGCAAGGUGGCUGUCCGCAAGCAAGGAAGAGAGCCCUGACUAGGAAGUGAAUUCGCCAGCAUUUUGAUCUUGGACUUCCCAGCCUCCAGAACUGUGAGAAGUAAAUGUGUGUUGGUUAAGCCCCAUAGUCAAUGGUAUUCUGUUACAGCAACCUGAGCUAAGACAAUUGCUGAUAGAUAUAUCUUGGGGACUGAAUCUUGUCCCCUAAUCUUUCAUCAAUAAACAUUUAUUGAACAUCU
Phyllostomus discolor (pale spear-nosed bat) is the source of this 2539-nucleotide long non-coding RNA. RefSeq lists it as uncharacterized. Lineage: Eukaryota; Metazoa; Chordata; Mammalia; Chiroptera; Phyllostomidae. The transcript is spliced from 2 exons. The record is from RefSeq and is a predicted model, not a curated record.